This 1231-nucleotide long non-coding RNA is filed under the name Homo sapiens (human). Its description in RNAcentral is "HSALNT0242603". The record is from RNAcentral. Lineage: Eukaryota; Metazoa; Chordata; Mammalia; Primates; Hominidae.
UCUAAACCUGCAACUUCACAUCAACUUUUACCAUUUUCAAGAGCUUCCAAGCCAGGAAUGUUAGAGCUGGAAGGAACAUGAUAAAAAGAAGGAAAGUGAAAGUGAACAGUUUACACAGCCAGCAGCACAGUAACCGGCAAGGGGCAAACAAACCCAUAGAUGCUUCCUGAAUGAAACAAAUGAGAUACAGGGAAAAGAUUAAAACCAAGAACCUCUGACUUCCAGACCACUUGACUCUGCUGCCUGACCCUCUUCUUAAAUCCAUGCUGCCUGAGUAAACGUCCAGGCUCCACAUAUUUAGACCACAUCGGGAAACUAGACUUCAUACUGAGACUUACGUUCCCACAUAUAUGGAUUGUGGGCAAUCAGAAGCUCAAAGUGGAAGCUCUGAAGAUGGGAUCCUUUCUGCAAGCUGCUGUGAUACGAGCUGCUGUAAAAACGGAGGCCUCCAGACCAACAGCCAGGGAGUAGAGGAGAGACUCACAUUAGUGGCCACUGGACCAGUGGGAGGAAGAGCUUAUGGGAAGAGACUUCUUUGGCUCAUCUCAUGUUACAUCUUGGAGUGACCUCAAAGGCCCCAUCCCAGAAGGCACAGCCACAAAAAACGUGGCCUCCACCAGCAUGGAUCCCUGAAUGUAAUGGGAUCAGAGCCUCCUGCCCACACCUGGAGGUCAGAAUAAUACUGGAAGUCCUCCAUCUAUUUCUCAUCAUCUCACUCUUGAGUGUGCACUGCCAACAAUGUCCCUGAAUGAAGAGCCACUGAUUACAUCUAAGUUUUGGCUGUUGAAAGGAAGUUCUACGUAUAAGGAAGUGCAUUGGACUGACAGUCAGGUCAGCAUCUGGAUUGUGCUGUGAGCUCUCGUAUGUAUCACCUCAUGUGAUCUUCGUGAUCACUUUGCAAAAUGUGGAUUUUGCAAAAUGAGGCCACAAAUAGUCGCCUUUCUCCAAUUUUCUCAUUUCUUUGACUUUACUUUGUGACUUUUUGGAUUGUUGUUUACGGUAUGCUACCUAAAGUUUUUCUCACUUCAGAGAAGAGGAAGCUAGCUAAUGCUGUCAGUGUCACAGGACACGUCAUGCUUACAAUGAUAAGGUUAAUAUGUGGCACACCUCUGACUUGAACAAGGCCUGUUUGUUUACAAAGUCAAUGGUUACACUCUUACCCUAGAGUUCUAGUCUCCAUUCUGCUGCCAAUUACCCGAUGACCUAUGUGACUUUAGACAUGUGAAAUAAC